This 508-nucleotide ribosomal RNA is filed under the name uncultured bacterium. Its description in RNAcentral is "partial 16S ribosomal RNA". It matches the Rfam family "Bacterial small subunit ribosomal RNA", at positions 28 to 507 of the family's 1533-position model. The record is from RNAcentral.
GACGAACGCUGGCGACGUGCCUAAUACAUGCAAGUCGAACGCUUCUUUCCUCCCGAGUGCUUGCACUCAAUUGGAAAGAGGAGUGGCGGACGGGUGAGUAACACGUGGGUAACCUACCCAUCAGAGGGGGAUAACACUUGGAAACAGGUGCUAAUACCGCAUAACAGUUUAUGCCGCAUGGCAUAAGAGUGAAAGGCGCUUUCGGGUGUCGUUGAUGGAUGGACCCGCGGUGCAUUAGCUAGUUGGUGAGGUAACGGCUCACCAAGGCCACGAUGCAUAGCCGACCUGAGAGGGUGAUCGGCCACACUGGGACUGAGACACGGCCCAGACUCCUACGGGAGGCAGCAGUAGGGAAUCUUCGGCAAUGGACGAAAGUCUGACCGAGCAACGCCGCGUGAGUGAAGAAGGUUUUCGGAUCGUAAAACUCUGUUGUUAGAGAAGAACAAGGACGUUAGUAACUGAACGUCCCCUGACGGUAUCUAACCAGAAAGCCACGGCUAACUACGUG